Molecule: unclassified non-coding RNA, 291 nt
Filed under: fungal sp.
Lineage: Eukaryota; Fungi
Description: partial internal transcribed spacer region
Rfam family: Eukaryotic small subunit ribosomal RNA (bases 1-46)
Source: RNAcentral
AAGUCGUAACAAGGUUUCCGUAGGUGAACCUGCGGAAGGAUCAUUAACACUUUUUCCAAAACUCCUUUUUCUGAUGGCCCAAAAAAGCCAAAAGAUUUAGGUUUUUUGACCCCAAUUUAUUGCGAACGAUGAUUUUCCAAAAUCAUUCUUCUCUUCUUUAUCCUCUUUUUUAUUUUUACCCCAAUUUUUUACAAAAUCCAAGCCUGAUAUUAAAAUCGUUUCUCUCAAAAAGAGAACACGACCGAAACCUAAUGGUUAAAACAACUCUUAGCAACGGAUAUCUUGGCUCUC